This 247-nucleotide ribosomal RNA is filed under the name uncultured bacterium. RNAcentral's name for it is "partial 16S ribosomal RNA". It matches the Rfam family "Bacterial small subunit ribosomal RNA", at positions 523 to 769 of the family's 1533-position model. The record is from RNAcentral.
AUACGUAGGGGGCGAGCGUUGUCCGGAAUUACUGGGCGUAAAGGGUGCGUAGGCGGCAUGUUAAGUUGGAUGUGAAAUACCCGGGCUCAACCUGGGGGGUGCAUUCAAAACUGGCAAGCUAGAGUGCAGGAGAGGGAAGCGGAAUUCCUAGUGUAGCGGUGAAAUGCGUAGAUAUUAGGAGGAACACCAGUGGCGAAGGCGGCUUUCUGGACUGUAACUGACACUGAGGCGCGAAAGCGUGGGGAGC